This 467-nucleotide ribosomal RNA is filed under the name uncultured bacterium. RNAcentral's name for it is "partial 16S ribosomal RNA". It matches the Rfam family "Bacterial small subunit ribosomal RNA", at positions 28 to 507 of the family's 1533-position model. The record is from RNAcentral.
GACGAACGCUGGCGGCGUGCUUGACACAUGCAAGUCGAACGGAAAGGCCUCUUUCGGGGGGUACUCGAGUGGCGAACGGGUGAGUAACACGUGAGUAACCUGCCCUUGACUUUGGGAUAACUUCAGGAAACUGGGGCUAAUACCGGAUAGGAGCUCCUGCUGCAUGGUGGGGGUUGGAAAGUUUCGGCGGUUGGGGAUGGACUCGCGGCUUAUCAGCUUGUUGGUGGGGUAGUGGCUUACCAAGGCUUUGACGGGUAGCCGGCCUGAGAGGGUGACCGGCCACAUUGGGACUGAGAUACGGCCCAGACUCCUACGGGAGGCAGCAGUGGGGAAUAUUGCACAAUGGGUGGAAGCCUGAUGCAGCAACGCCGUGUGCGGGAUGACGGCCUUCGGGUUGUAAACCGCUUUCGCUCAUGACGAAGCUUUGUGUGACGGUAGUGGGUAAAGAAGCACCGGCUAACUACGUG